UAGUUUUGUUUUAAGUCAAACUUUGUAAGUUUUGGCCACAUUUAUAUUAAAAAUAUCAACAUAUACAAUACCAAAUAAAUAAAAAUAUGCAAACAUAUUCCUUGGUGGAUCUAAUAAUAUCCAUUUGGAAUUGUGAAUGUUGAUAUUUUUUCUAUAAACUUGGUCAAACAUCACAAAGUUUGACUUGAGGCGAACCUAA
Molecule: non-coding RNA, 199 nt
Organism: Triticum aestivum (bread wheat)
Lineage: Eukaryota; Viridiplantae; Streptophyta; Magnoliopsida; Poales; Poaceae
Source: Rfam